UUUGACAGAGGUCAGCAUAUCGGACGUAACUUUUGAUUCUAAAGGUUACCGGAUUUCAAUUACGCACACAUUAUAUACAGAGCAAGAAAUCAACUAUAUCUGAUUGGUGACACAUCAGAACAAUACUCCCAUUAGAGACUGACAAGCUACAUGCUCUUUCUUACAUUCACAGAAGCUUUUGAGCCAACAGGGACCAUCACUAGCAUAAUUCCGCUGGUCAUAGUGUACCAGACUCAUAUCUUAAGUUGGCCUGAGAUUGUAUCUCAUCUUAACCACUUUCAUUUGCAGAUAUAUAUAUAUAUAUAUAUAUAUAUAUAUAUAUAUAUAUAUAUAUNNNN
This 338-nucleotide long non-coding RNA is filed under the name Musa acuminata (dwarf banana). Its description in RNAcentral is "long non-coding RNA (MACU_LNC005750)". The record is from RNAcentral. Lineage: Eukaryota; Viridiplantae; Streptophyta; Magnoliopsida; Zingiberales; Musaceae.